This 352-nucleotide long non-coding RNA is filed under the name Mytilus galloprovincialis (Mediterranean mussel). Lineage: Eukaryota; Metazoa; Mollusca; Bivalvia; Mytilida; Mytilidae. The record is from RNAcentral.
UUUAAUCAUCUUAACUAUGCAAUGAAAAGCAUGAGAAAAUAUUUUCUCACUCAAAGAUGCAUGAUGGUAAAACAGGAAAGAUAUGUAGUGUUUCUUCCACUACAGCAUGAUUUUCAAGGUAAUUAUAAUUAUUUCAAGCAUGAACAAUUCGGUAGCAGUAUUUGAUAGUGACAACUCCGUGGAUACUGCUCCAACUUCAUAGAUAAGCAUAGAAGAUGAGGUUGCGAAUGUAACUUUAACCCACUAAUGAGUGUAAUAAAAGAAGUAGUUAUAUUUUAUAUAUCAUUCGGGCAAUAUUUCGCUAAACUAAUUAACUUCAUCGGGCGUGUACAUCUAACUAGAUGAAAUCGGG